Molecule: ribosomal RNA, 459 nt
Filed under: uncultured bacterium
Lineage: Bacteria
Description: bacterial SSU rRNA
Rfam family: Bacterial small subunit ribosomal RNA
Source: RNAcentral
CACUACCUACCGGGAGGCAGGCAGGUGGGGAAGUAAUUGCAUCAAUGGGCAGGCAAGCCUGAUGCAGCCAUGCCGCGUGUGUGAAGAAGGCCUUCGGGUUGUAAAGCACUUUCAGUCGUGAGGAAGGUAGUGUAGUUAAUAGCUGCAUUAUUUGACGUUAGCGACAGAAGAAGCACCGGCUAACUCCGUGCCAGCAGCCGCGGUAAUACGGAGGGUGCGAGCGUUAAUCGGAAUUACUGGGCGUAAAGCGCAUGCAGGUGGUUUGUUAAGUCAGAUGUGAAAGCCCGGGGCUCAACCUCGGAAUUGCAUUUGAAACUGGCAGACUAGAGUACUGUAGAGGGGGGUAGAAUUUCAGGUGUAGCGGUGAAAUGCGUAGAGAUCUGAAGGAAUACCGGUGGCGAAGGCGGCCCCCUGGACAGAUACUGACACUCAGAUGCGAAAGCGUGGGAGCAAACAGGA